Molecule: non-coding RNA, 31 nt
Filed under: Rattus norvegicus (Norway rat)
Lineage: Eukaryota; Metazoa; Chordata; Mammalia; Rodentia; Muridae
Source: RNAcentral
UCUUUUCGCCUUAAUUGCCUUGAUGGUCUCU